GGCCUAACACAUGCAAGUCGAACGGUAACAGGAAACAGCUUGCUGUUUCGCCGACGAGUGGCGGACGGGUGAGUAAUGUCUGGGAAACUGCCUGAUGGAGGGGGAUAACUACUGGAAACGGUAGCUAAUACCGCAUAACGUCGCAAGACCAAAGAGGGGGACCUUCGGGCCUCUUGCCAUCGGAUGUGCCCAGAUGGGAUUAGCUAGUAGGUGGGGUAACGGCUCACCUAGGCGACGAUCCCUAGCUGGUCUGAGAGGAUGACCAGCCACACUGGAACUGAGACACGGUCCAGACUCCUACGGGAGGCAGCAGUGGGGAAUAUUGCACAAUGGGCGCAAGCCUGAUGCAGCCAUGCCGCGUGUAUGAAGAAGGCCUUCGGGUUGUAAAGUACUUUCAGCGGGGAGGAAGGGAGUAAAGUUAAUACCUUUGCUCAUUGACGUUACCCGCAGAAGAAGCACCGGCUAACUCCGUGCCAGCAGCCGCGGUAAUACGGAGGGUGCAAGCGUUAAUCGGAAUUACUGGGCGUAAAGCGCACGCAGGCGGUUUGUUAAGUCAGAUGUGAAAUCCCCGGGCUCAACCUGGGAACUGCAUCUGAUACUGGCAAGCUUGAGUCUCGUAGAGGGGGGUAGAAUUCCAGGUGUAGCGGUGAAAUGCGUAGAGAUCUGGAGGAAUACCGGUGGCGAAGGCGGCCCCCUGGAC
This 700-nucleotide ribosomal RNA is filed under the name uncultured bacterium. RNAcentral describes it as "bacterial SSU rRNA". It matches the Rfam family "Bacterial small subunit ribosomal RNA", at positions 45 to 734 of the family's 1533-position model. The record is from RNAcentral.